UACGUAGGCAGCAAGCGUUGUUCGGAUUUACUGGGCGUAAAGGGUGUGUAGGCGGUUGUUUAAGUUUGGUGUGAAAUCUCCCGGCUCAACUGGGAGGGUGCGCCGAAUACUGAAUGACUAGAGUGCGGGAGAGGAAAGUGGAAUUCCUGGUGUAGCGGUGAAAUGCGUAGAUAUCAGGAGGAACACCGGUGGUGUAGACGGCUUUCUGGACCGUAACUGACGCUGAGACACGAAAGCGUGGGUAGCAAACAGG
This 253-nucleotide ribosomal RNA is filed under the name uncultured bacterium. RNAcentral describes it as "partial 16S ribosomal RNA". It matches the Rfam family "Bacterial small subunit ribosomal RNA", at positions 524 to 776 of the family's 1533-position model. The record is from RNAcentral.